GUGCCAGCCGCCGCGGUAGUACGGAGGGUGCAAGCGUUGUCCGGAAUCACUGGGUGUAAAGGGUGUGCAGGCGGGGCAACAAGUCGGAGGUGAAAGCCCAUGGCUCAACCAUGGAAGUGCCUUCGACACUGUUGCUCUUGAGUCCCGGAGAGGUUGUCGGAAAUCGUGGUGUAGCGGUGAAAUGCGUAGAUAUCACGAGGAACACCAGAGGCGAAAGCGGACAACUGGGCGGGUACUGACGCUCAGGCACGAAAGCGAGGGGAGCAAACAGGAUUAGAUACCCUGGUAGUCC
This 292-nucleotide ribosomal RNA is filed under the name uncultured bacterium. RNAcentral describes it as "partial 16S ribosomal RNA". It matches the Rfam family "Bacterial small subunit ribosomal RNA", at positions 505 to 796 of the family's 1533-position model. The record is from RNAcentral.